RNAcentral lists this long non-coding RNA (575 nucleotides) under Pogona vitticeps (central bearded dragon). Its description in RNAcentral is "lncRNA (ENSPVIG00000015052.1)". The record is from RNAcentral. Lineage: Eukaryota; Metazoa; Chordata; Lepidosauria; Squamata; Agamidae.
CUCUUUCCCCAAACGAGCUUUGAUCUGGUUCUUAAACUGCUAUUGCUUUUUUGGUCUGUCUUUGUCUUUUAUGAUUUUUUUGAUUUGUUUUACCUCUGUUUUAAUUCAGAAUUCGAGUCAGAGCAGCUUCAUGCAAACUGCCUUGGGAAUUUCUAUUUGAAAGGCUGGAGAUCUCAGAAGAGGGUGGAUUGCCACUCUGUUGAAGGUCUCUUUAACCAGAGACAUUCUGUAUUGGAAAGACAGGAACACAGUGAGUAUCUUUGUUUUGGGGGGGGGGUAGCUUUGAAAAUGAGAAAACCCUGACAGUGUGCUAAAGUAAUGAUUAAUACGGACGGCAUUCUGCUUCUAAAAGCCAUAAGAUCUUUAAUAUCAACACAAUAUAUGAGACUUCACUUGAAGCUCUUAUCUGAAGGAUGACAUUGAGGGUGCUAUUUCAUCUUCCGUCUGUGGAAGGGAACCAGGAGGAGAAUCAUUUCUGAGGUCCCUUUGCUUCGCCAUAAAGCUUGUACAUACAUAUGAACCAGAUCCUGAUUCUCACUACCACCUUUCUUUGAGAUAAUAUCCAUUUGAACUGG